GGCUACUUAGUUUAAACAAAAACAACUGUUUUGAAAACAGUAUUUAAGAAUAUUUUCUUAGUAACCU
RNAcentral lists this transfer RNA (67 nucleotides) under Clibanarius infraspinatus. Its description in RNAcentral is "tRNA-Ser". The record is from RNAcentral. Lineage: Eukaryota; Metazoa; Arthropoda; Malacostraca; Decapoda; Diogenidae.